AUAACGACUCUCGGCAACGGAUAUCUCGGCUCUCGCAUCGAUGAAGAACGUAGCGAAAUGCGAUACUUGGUGUGAAUUGCAGAAUCCCGUGAACCAUCGAGUCUUUGAACGCAAGUUGCGCCCCAAGCUCUAAGCCGAGGGCACGUCUGCCUGGGUGUCACGCACCGUCGCCCCCCCAACCCCCACGCCUCGCGCGCGGGGACGUGUUGCGGGGGGCGGAUACUGGCCUCCCGUGCGACGGGACGUCCGUCUCGCGGUUGGCCCAAAUACGAGUCCUCGGCAGCGGAUGCCGCGGCGUUCGGUGGUGGAUCAAGAAACCUCGAGCUCGCGCCGCGCGUACGCCGUCGGUUCAGGGCUCACGAACCCUGAGGCGUCUCGAUCCGAGACGCACGCAUCGCGACCCCA
Molecule: ribosomal RNA, 405 nt
Filed under: Melicoccus bijugatus
Lineage: Eukaryota; Viridiplantae; Streptophyta; Magnoliopsida; Sapindales; Sapindaceae
Description: eukaryotic LSU rRNA
Rfam family: 5.8S ribosomal RNA (bases 6-160)
Source: RNAcentral